RNAcentral lists this ribosomal RNA (589 nucleotides) under uncultured Actinomycetes bacterium. Its description in RNAcentral is "bacterial SSU rRNA". It matches the Rfam family "Bacterial small subunit ribosomal RNA", at positions 31 to 629 of the family's 1533-position model. The record is from RNAcentral. Lineage: Bacteria; Bacillati; Actinomycetota; Actinomycetes.
AAACGCUACCGGCAGGGCUAAUAACAUGCAAGUCGAACGGUGUCUUCGGACAUAGUGGCGCACGGGUGCGUAACACGUAUGCAACCUACCUUACAUUGGGGGAUAGCCUUUCGAAAGGGAGAUUAAUACCGCAUAAGACAGUAGCUGGGCAUCCAGCAGCUGUUAAAGAUUUAUCGAUGUAAGCUGGGCAUGCGUCCAAUUAGCUAGUUGGUGAGGUAAUGGCUCACCAAGGCAAUGAUUGGUAGGGGAACUGAGAGGUCAAUCCCCCACACUGGCACUGAGAUACGGGCCAGACUCCUACGGGAGGCAGCAGUAGGGAAUAUUGGGCAAUGGACGCAAGUCUGACCCAGCCAUGCCGCGUGCAGGAUGAAGGCGUUAUGCGUUGUAAACUGCUUUUAUACAGGAAGAAACGACUCUUGCGAGAGGCAUUGACGGUACUGUAUGAAUAAGCACCGGCUAACUCCGUGCCAGCAGCCGCGGUAAUACGGAGGGUGCAAGCGUUGUCCGGAUUUAUUGGGUUUAAAGGGUGCGCAGGUGGUUUAUUAAGUCAGUGGUGAAAGACGGUCGCUCAACGAUUGCAGUGCCAUUG